GGUUUUCCCCUUUUUUCUUCUUUCCUUCCCUAUUUCUAGAAGCGAGAAACUUCCCUAGCUUGCUAACUAUUUCUUGUUCACAUGUCAUCGAUCAUUGCUUGUGCCUUACAACAUGGCUGUCCAAACCAUUCAUCUUGUGUGCUUCACUAUGGAUGGGCCAUUUGGACUCCAAUAAUUGAAGCCCCUCACCAUCCUCACACAGUGAUGAUCGUAUUUCAAUGGGAUUUUGCCAUGUGGCCCAUCCACUGUGAGAUAGCAGUGCAACUUGGGUUGGCUUAACCCAACCGCAACUGGCUCAGUCCGUAAUUUUAGUCAGGUCGGGACAGUGGGGUUGAGGAUGGGUUGGGUUGGGUCGGGUCGGGUUGGGUGAGGCUCAGGCUCCCGUAACCACUCAUCUCUUCCUCUCUCUCAAAAGUUGUGCAUGCAACAACAACAUUGAGCAAGGAGCAACAUAUCUUAGAGGUGAGUCUUAAGGACAGUUUCAAUGCUUUACACUGCAGUGGGCCCCACCCACAAGGUUUUGUGUUCAUGUGAAAUACUUGUACGCUAAUCUGGUGAGGGAGUUUUGAUACUCCAAUAUGUAUGACACUUGAAGCUCUGGCCACCCAACAGCUGCACGCGUGGCAUGAAUUGACUCAAAUAAAACCAACUACAUUGUGGGGCCUGCUACAGCGUUAAUCACGUACCAGAUUGGUUGGACAGUCCUAUCCUUUGAUUUGUGGGGAGCUUGUUUGUUGAAACAAGGCCAUCGGAUGAUUUGAUUUGAAUCACUUAUGCUCAUUGGGUCCAAUCCUUGAAUGCAUGUUUAUCAUGUAUGAUAGUAUCAAAAGAUUUAUAAAGAACUGGUUGUGAGAAAAUAAUCACCUGCACAACACCACAAUCUGUUCAAAUCACAUGUUAUUCGUUAUCAUCAGAUGUUGUUACCACCCAAUGGAUGAGUUGGAUAUAUGAAAAUAACUUGACCUUUUGGUAUGCUAUCAUCUAGAAACAUAUCAUGCCGCUUUACAUGUUACACUAACGCUACACAUGGGAACAACAAUACUCUAGCUUUAACUCCAAAUCUAAGCACCGAUGUCGAUACUACUAUUGUUAUUAAUGUAUCUGUAAGUAUCAUGUAACUAUAAAAGAUUGUAUAAAACAAUUAUAAAGUGCUGAUGGGGGAAAGCCAUAUCAUGCAACAUUUAACUACUGUUAUAAGGGGUUUGGGUGUGUUGCUACUUAAGGAACUAGCACACUCAAACGAUGCUUAGAGAAUGUCCUAUAUAUCCAUGCAUAAACAAUUGUUCCAAAUAACAACUCCUAAACUGUUCGUAAAUAGGUGCAAGUAAUGUUGCUAACUGGAAAUUCAAUUAAGAAUUCUAUUGGUAAACAAUUUCUAGAAUGAGUAUUGUCGAUGAGUUUAUUGUUAAUUUUUAUUGGAAGUGAAGGGUUUAGAGUUUUUAUAAUGUUGUGCAAUCUAAGCUCAAAUUUAUAUCAUGUACCACUAUGCCUAAGGACUAAAUGGAACUAUACUGAGUGAAAGAAGAAAGUUGAAAGAGAAAUCGGGGCCCUUAGCACACGUAUGCGUCACCAAUGAGCUCUGGACUUCUAUUCAAACUUUGAUAUGUCUAAUUGCCAUCAUAUUGAUACGGAUUGGAAUUUACAAAAGAAUAUUAUAAAUUUUCAUGUGAUACUAACGUUGUAUAGUGAUGAGUUCAUUGACUAUAAUAUUGACUUGUAUUUGUUGGCAUGAAGUAUAGAAAAAUUGUGGAUAAUAACCAAAGAUAAUGUGAGUUUGAAUGAUCUUGCGAUUUAGAUUUUAAAGAGAAAGUUCAAUAAAAAGAAUGAAAUGCUAAAUGCUAAUAGAAGCUGAAUUCUUUCACGUGUUGUUGUGCACAUAUCUUGUAAAAGAUAUGGAAGUGGUCAUGAGCGUCAUACUUGUAUCCGAAACAAUGUGAGAAAUUCACAAAGUAUACUGAGGCGGUUGUGCUUGAAUGGUUAUACAUACUGGAACUCUACAUGCUUUAUGUUAUAUUCUGCUUUACAGCUUCAAGAGGCAUUUGAAUUGUUAUAAGAACAUGAUUUGAAUUAUCAAAAAGAAGUUAAGGAUUGGUUCCUUAUUGAGGUAGAUUGGCUAGGCACCAAUACGAAUUUUCACAAAAACUAGAUAGGAUUUUGUGGCUUUUUUUUUUUUUUUUUUUUUUUUUUUUGAGAAUUUUAUCCUGAUUACAACACACAAAUUUUACCCCUAUGGGAUUUUAUGUAAAUUGUGUGCAAAAUUUUACCUGAUUGUAACAGAAAUUUUUUACUCCUCAUGGGAUUUUAUGCAAAUUGUGUCCAAUUUUUUUAGCCUGAUAAUAAUACAGAAUUUGCACAAAAUUCCUCAAUUUGCACACAAUUUACUCAAAAUCCCAUAGCAAGUAAAAUUUGUGUUGUUAUUAGGUUAAAAAUUAUCUAAAAUUUUUCGUGAAAGCUUAGCUAGAUUCCAAUCUAGCUCCAUAGUGGAUCCAUCCUUAACCUGAAACCCUAAAGUAGACUCUAUACAAAGUUCCAUCGUGUACAAACAUCUAAGAACAAUGACCUCUUGCUCAUGAUCAACUCUCCCUUCAUACUUCCUUAAUUUUUAUUGUCAUGACGGAAAACUCAUAUCUUGGUGAACUUCUUGCAUAUUUUACGUUGUUACGAAUAUGAAGUAUUAAGUCUUGACCUCUUUUAUUCUCUCUUUAACAAUGAGGUUUAAGAUGUGUGCACAUUAUUGCAUGUGAAAGAGUUCAACUAUUAGUAUCAACCCAUUCUUGUUAUAAAACUCUCUUCAAAGUUUGAAUCAGUGCUGGGACUCAAAUUAUUCAUGGUUAUUGUGCAUAAUUCUUCUAUACAUCAUGUCAACAAGUAUAACUUAAUAUUACACUCAACAACCUCACUACUAUAUGGUAUUAGUUAUCAUAGGGAAAUUUAUAAUUUUCUUUUGUAACUUCCAAUUCAUAUCAAUAUAAUGCACGAUAAGGCACAUAUUCUAUUUAUUUAUUUUUAUUUUUUAUAGAAGUUUAGAGGUUGGUAGGCAUCCUCGUUAUGCCUAGGGCUAUACUUUCUUUUUCAACUUCUCUCUCACUUAAAUACAACUCCAUGUUAUCCUUAGCUACAAUGGUAUGUGAAUAAGUUUGAGCUGUAGAUCACAGGAUAAUACACGAAAACUAGAACCCUUCAUUUUCAACAAAAUUGAAAGGCAAGUUGUCAACAAUAAUCGUCCUAGAAAGUGCUUCCCGACAAUUUUAAUAAUUGAAAUUUCAAUUAGCAACACCAUUUUUACCUACUUAUGUGAAAGCUAGGGGGUGUUUUCUCAAAUCUUUGUUGUUGUAUGGAUAUUUAGGACCCUUCUCUAAAUGUUGUCUAAGUCUGCUAGUUCCUCGAGCUGGCACACCCUAACUCCUUAAACAGUAGUUGCUUGUUGCACAAUCUGGCUUUCCCCUGUUAGCUGUUUUUUACUCUAUAAAAUAAUCCCGCACAGCAGAAACUGUUUUAUACACCCCUUUACAUCUAAAUGAUACUUCAGAUACAUCAGUAGUAGCAGUAGUAUUGACAUUGCUACUCGAAAUCAAAGUUUUGAGCUGGAGUAUUCUUGUCCACCUUGUUUGACAUGUAAUGUGGCAUCAUGUAAAUUUCUAGAACAUAGUUUACUAAAAAGUUUAAAGUUGUUUUGAUACUUUAAGAUCCAAUUCAUUCUAUGGUGGGAUUAUAAUGAAAUAGCACGUGAUUUGAA
Long non-coding RNA from Magnolia sinica, 3736 nucleotides. RefSeq lists it as uncharacterized. The transcript has 2 exons. Lineage: Eukaryota; Viridiplantae; Streptophyta; Magnoliopsida; Magnoliales; Magnoliaceae. The record is from RefSeq and is a predicted model, not a curated record.